GCUGGGGUGCCGGAGUGGUCUAACGGAGGUGAUUGCAAACCAUCUAUUCGCAGGUUCGAAUCCUGUUCCCAGCUCCA
This 77-nucleotide transfer RNA is filed under the name Pseudomonas viridiflava. RNAcentral's name for it is "tRNA-Cys". It matches the Rfam family "tRNA". From Rfam's summary of the family: Transfer RNA (tRNA) molecules are approximately 80 nucleotides in length. The record is from RNAcentral. RNAcentral also lists the same sequence under 1 other name. Lineage: Bacteria; Pseudomonadati; Pseudomonadota; Gammaproteobacteria; Pseudomonadales; Pseudomonadaceae.